Molecule: long non-coding RNA, 545 nt
Filed under: Callithrix jacchus (white-tufted-ear marmoset)
Lineage: Eukaryota; Metazoa; Chordata; Mammalia; Primates; Cebidae
Description: lncRNA (ENSCJAG00000061925.2)
Source: RNAcentral
AGUGUGAGAGAAAGACAAGAAAUAAGGAAGACUUCAAGAUUUUUGGUCUGAGCCCUUUGAAGGAUGUAUUGCCAUUGACCAGGAUGGAGAAGGCUGUAGAUGGAAGUGGGUUUUGGAGUAGAAGAAACGGGGUUUUGCCAUGUUGCCUAUGCUGGUCUUGAACUCCUGGACUCAAGCAAUCUGUCCGAUUCAAAAUCCCAAAGUGCUGGGAUUACAGGUAUGAGCCACCACACCCUGUCAAAUCAGUGGUUGAUAAGUCAUUCAGUUUACCAGUUUCCAUUUAAACUUUUGUUGACAGCUCUUAGAGAACUUUGUAAUUGAAAAGACAGAAUUGUAGAACAGGGUCCCAGCAGACUCUUCAAAAGAAGUUUCCAAACCUCUCUGUGGUAUGAAGACAAACAUUAGACAAUCUAUGAUUUUCCAGCCUGCUUCUGUUCAGAUUUUGAAUAAAUGACCAAAUUGAGCUUUGUUUUUUAAUUAAUUGUUAUUUAAUUUAGCACAUCUUAAGAGAUGUACCUGAGAACUUUGUAUAAGACACGGGUGAA